RNAcentral lists this ribosomal RNA (436 nucleotides) under uncultured Vagococcus sp. RNAcentral describes it as "bacterial SSU rRNA". It matches the Rfam family "Bacterial small subunit ribosomal RNA", at positions 1 to 442 of the family's 1533-position model. Lineage: Bacteria; Bacillati; Bacillota; Bacilli; Lactobacillales; Enterococcaceae. The record is from RNAcentral.
CGCCCUUAGAGUUUGAUCAUGGCUCAGGACGAACGCUGGCGGCGUGCCUAAUACAUGCAAGUCGAACGCAGCUUGCUUUGGUAAGAUGAGUGGCGAACGGGUGAGUAACACGUGGGUAACCUGCCUAUCAGAGGGGGAUAACACUUGGAAACAGGUGCUAAUACCGCAUAGAUUUCUUUCGCAUGAAAAGAGAGGAAAGACGUACGUGUCACUGAUAGAUGGACCCGCGGUGCAUUAGCUAGUUGGUGAGGUAACGGCUCACCAAGGCCAUGAUGCAUAGCCGACCUGAGAGGGUGAUCGGCCACACUGGGACUGAGACACGGCCCAGACUCCUACGGGAGGCAGCAGUAGGGAAUCUUCGGCAAUGGACGAAAGUCUGACCGAGCAACGCCACGUGAGUGAAGAAGGUUUUCGGAUCGUAAAACUCUGUUGUUAG